Molecule: ribosomal RNA, 465 nt
Filed under: uncultured Klebsiella sp.
Lineage: Bacteria; Pseudomonadati; Pseudomonadota; Gammaproteobacteria; Enterobacterales; Enterobacteriaceae
Description: bacterial SSU rRNA
Rfam family: Bacterial small subunit ribosomal RNA
Source: RNAcentral
CCUACGGGCGGCUGCAGUGGGGAAUAUUGCACAAUGGGCGCAAGCCUGAUGCAGCCAUGCCGCGUGUGUGAAGAAGGCCCUCGGGUUGUAAAGCACUUUCAGCGGGGAGGAAGGCGGUGAGGUUAAUAACCUCAUCGAUUGACGUUACCCGCAGAAGAAGCACCGGCUAACUCCGUGCCAGCAGCCGCGGUAAUACGGAGGGUGCAAGCGUUAAUCGGAAUUACUGGGCGUAAAGCGCACGCAGGCGGUCUGUCAAGUCGGAUGUGAAAUCCCCGGGCUCAACCUGGGAACUGCAUUCGAAACUGGCAGGCUAGAGUCUUGUAGAGGGGGGUAGAAUUCCAGGUGUAGCGGUGAAAUGCGUAGAGAUCUGGAGGAAUACCGGUGGCGAAGGCGGCCCCCUGGACAAAGACUGACGCUCAGGUGCGAAAGCGUGGGGAGCAAACAGGAUUAGAUACCCUAGUAGUC